Molecule: ribosomal RNA, 440 nt
Filed under: uncultured bacterium
Lineage: Bacteria
Description: partial 16S ribosomal RNA
Rfam family: Bacterial small subunit ribosomal RNA
Source: RNAcentral
CCUACGGGAGGCAGCAGUGAGGAAUAUUGCUCAAUGGGGGAAACCCUGAUCCAGCGACGCCGCGUGAGUGAAGACGGUAUUCGUUUUGUAAAGCUCUAUCAUCUGUGAAGAAAAUGACGGUAGCUGAGGAGGAAGCCCCGGCUAACUACGUGCCAGCAGCCGCGGUAAUACGUAGGGGGCAAGCGUUGUCCGGAUUUACUGGGUGUAAAGGGUGCGUAGGCGGCCGUGCAAGUCUGGAGUGAAAUCCAUGGGCUUAACCCGCGAACUGCUUUUGAAACUGUACGGCUUGAGUGCAGGAGAGGCAAGCGGAAUUCCUGGUGUAGCGGUGAAAUGCGUAGAGAGCAGGAGGAACACCAGUGGCGAAGGCGGCCUGCUGGGCUGUAACUGACGUUGAGGCACGAAAGCGUGGGUAGCAAACAGGAUUAGAUACCCUAGUAGUC